Molecule: unclassified non-coding RNA, 327 nt
Filed under: Hevea brasiliensis (rubber tree)
Lineage: Eukaryota; Viridiplantae; Streptophyta; Magnoliopsida; Malpighiales; Euphorbiaceae
Source: RNAcentral
AAAAAAAAAAAAAAAAACAAACAGCAUGUUUUGGUUUCAGCUACGUUGUGGGCUUGUUUGAUGUCUGUGCUGUUUUUUUUUUUUUUUUAAGUGGUUGUGCAAGAGUAAGAGGAUGGCUUUAGUGUAACUGUCAAGAGUAAGAAGGUCAUGGGUGUGAGCCAUGAAAACAGCAUUUCUGCUAAGUAAGGAUAAUGCUGCGUCCAACAACCCUUCCUAGAGCCUAUAAGUGUAGGAAACUUAGUGCACUGGUCAACCUUUUUUGUGCAAUAGUAAAAAAAUUGUCUGUGAGAAACGAAUUGAGCAGAAAAGUAAAAGCCACUUUUAUGA